CCGAGUUAUACAACUCAUCAACCCUGUGAACAUACCUAUAACGUUGCCUCGGCGGGAACAGACGGCCCCGUAACACGGGCCGCCCCCGCCAGAGGACCCCCUAACUCUGUUUCUAUAAUGUUUCUUCUGAGUAAACAAGCAAAUAAAUCA
Molecule: unclassified non-coding RNA, 150 nt
Filed under: soil metagenome
Description: partial internal transcribed spacer 1
Source: RNAcentral